GUGAGGAAUUUUCCGCAAUGGGCGAAAGCCUGACGGAGCAAUGCCGCGUGAAGGAUGAAGGCCUAUGGGUUGUAAACUUCUUUUCUCAGAAAAGAAUUAUGACGGUAUCUGAGGAAUAAGCAUCGGCUAACUCUGUGCCAGCAGCCGCGGUAAGACAGAGGAUGCAAGCGUUAUCCGGAAUGAUUGGGCGUAAAGCGUCUGUAGGUUGUUUAAAAAGUAUUCUGUCAAAGAUUAGGGCUUAACCCUAGAUAGGCAGAAUAAACUUUUAAGCUAGAGUUUGGUAGAGGCAGAGGGAAUUCCCGGUGGAGCGGUGAAAUGCGUAGAUAUCGGGAGGAACACCAAAGGCGAAGGCACUCUGCUGGGCCAAUACUAACACUGAGAGAUGAAAGCGAGGGGAGCAAAUGGGAUUAGAUACCCCGGUAGUCC
This 426-nucleotide ribosomal RNA is filed under the name uncultured bacterium. Its description in RNAcentral is "partial 16S ribosomal RNA". It matches the Rfam family "Bacterial small subunit ribosomal RNA", at positions 354 to 796 of the family's 1533-position model. The record is from RNAcentral.